RNAcentral lists this ribosomal RNA (440 nucleotides) under uncultured bacterium. RNAcentral's name for it is "bacterial SSU rRNA". It matches the Rfam family "Bacterial small subunit ribosomal RNA", at positions 340 to 773 of the family's 1533-position model. The record is from RNAcentral.
UACGGAAGGCAGCAGUGGGGAAUAUUGCACAAUGGGCGCAAGCCUGAUGCAGCCAUGCCGCGUGUAUGAAGAAGGCCUUCGGGUUGUAAAGUACUUUCAGUCGUGAGGAAGGUGUUAAGGUUAAUAACCUUAGCAAUUGACGUUAGCGACAGAAGAAGCACCGGCUAACUCCGUGCCAGCAGCCGCGGUAAUACGGAGGGUGCGAGCGUUAAUCGGAAUUACUGGGCGUAAAGGGCACGCAGGCGGUUAAUUAAGUUGGAUGUGAAAUCCCCGGGCUUAACCUGGGAAUGGCAUUCAAGACUGGUUAGCUAGAGUCUUGUAGAGGGGGUAGAAUUCCAUGGUGUAGCGGUGAAAUGCGUAGAGAUGUGGAGGAAUACCGGUGGCGAAGGCGGCCCCUGGACAAAGGCUGACGCUCAUGUGCGAAAGCGUGGGGAGCAAAC